This 492-nucleotide ribosomal RNA is filed under the name uncultured bacterium. RNAcentral describes it as "partial 16S ribosomal RNA". It matches the Rfam family "Bacterial small subunit ribosomal RNA", at positions 29 to 507 of the family's 1533-position model. The record is from RNAcentral.
AGUGAACGCUGGCGGUAGGCCUAACACAUGCAAGUCGAACGGCAGCACAGUAAGAGCUUGCUCUUACGGGUGGCGAGUGGCGGACGGGUGAGGAAUACAUCGGAAUCUACUUUUUCGUGGGGGAUAACGUAGGGAAACCUACGCUAAUACCGCAUACGACCUACGGGUGAAAGCAGGGGAUCUUCGGACCUUGCGCGAUUGAAUGAGCCGAUGUCGGAUUAGCUAGUUGGCGGGGUAAAGGCCCACCAAGGCGACGAUCCGUAGCUGGACUGAGAGGAUGAUCAGCGACACUGGAACUGAGACACGGUCCAGACUCCUACGGGAGGGAGCAGUGGGGAAUAUUAGACAGUGGGCGCGAGCCUGAUCCAGCCAUACCGCGUGGGUGAAGAAGGCCUUCGGGUUGGAAAGCCCUUUUGUUGGGAAAGAAAAGCAGCAGGUUAAUACCCCGCUGUUCUGACGGUACCCAAAGAAUAAGCACCGGCUAACUUCGUG